Molecule: ribosomal RNA, 427 nt
Filed under: uncultured bacterium
Lineage: Bacteria
Description: bacterial SSU rRNA
Rfam family: Bacterial small subunit ribosomal RNA
Source: RNAcentral
UGGGGAAUAUUGGGCAAUGGGCGAAAGCCUGACCCAGCGACGCCGCGUGGGUGAUGAAGGCCUUCGGGUUGUAAAGCCCUUUCGUGCGGAAAGAACAGCCCUGUAGUUAAUACCUGCCGGGUUUGACGGUACCGCAGGAAGAAGCACCGGCUAACCUCGUGCCAGCAGCCGCGGUAAUACGGAGGGUGCAAGCGUUGUUCGGAAUUACUGUGCGUAAAGGGAGCGUAGGUGGUUGUGAUAGUCAGAUGUGAAAUCCUUUGGCUUAACUGAAGAACUGCAUCUGAAACUUCACAAGUCGAGUACAGGAGAUGGAAACGGAAAUCCCGGUGUAGAGGUGAAAUUCGUAGAUAUCGGGAGGAACACCAGUGGCGAGGGCGGUUUCCUGGCCUGAUACUGACACUGAGGCGCGAAAGCGUGGGGAGCAAAC